UGUCGUGAUGAUGGCACUGAGGUCACACCUGUUCCCAUACCGAACACAGUAGUUAAGCUCAGUAGCGCCAAAAGUAGUUGGAGGAU
RNAcentral lists this ribosomal RNA (86 nucleotides) under Weissella paramesenteroides. Lineage: Bacteria; Bacillati; Bacillota; Bacilli; Lactobacillales; Lactobacillaceae. The record is from RNAcentral.